UUACUUACAACGGUUGAACGAAAAUAAUAUUCCUUACGAAUAUUGAACGGAAAUAAUAUUCCUUACGAAUAUUAAACGAAUAUAAUCAAUAUUGAACGAUAAUAAUAUUUAUACGAAUAUGAAAAAUAAUUUCUCUUCAGAAUGAAAAAAAAUAAUAAUCCUUACCUCAGAAGAAAACUGGAUACUAGAGUAGUGAGGUAGCAGACU
This 207-nucleotide long non-coding RNA is filed under the name Panax ginseng (ginseng). RNAcentral describes it as "long non-coding RNA (PGIN_LNC005621)". Lineage: Eukaryota; Viridiplantae; Streptophyta; Magnoliopsida; Apiales; Araliaceae. The record is from RNAcentral.